This 200-nucleotide ribosomal RNA is filed under the name uncultured Pelotomaculum sp. RNAcentral describes it as "partial 16S ribosomal RNA". It matches the Rfam family "Bacterial small subunit ribosomal RNA", at positions 1183 to 1382 of the family's 1533-position model. Lineage: Bacteria; Bacillati; Bacillota; Clostridia; Eubacteriales; Desulfotomaculaceae. The record is from RNAcentral.
CGUCAAAUCAUCAUGCCCCUUAUGUUCUGGGCUACACACGUGCUACAAUGGCCGGUACAGACGGAGGCGAAGCCGCGAGGCGGAGCAAAACCGAAAAAGCCGGUCUCAGUUCGGAUUGCAGGCUGCAAUUCGCCUGCAUGAAGUCGGAAUCGCUAGUAAUCGCAGGUCAGCAUACUGCGGUGAAUACGUUCCCGGGCCUU